Molecule: long non-coding RNA, 1011 nt
Filed under: Anolis carolinensis (green anole)
Lineage: Eukaryota; Metazoa; Chordata; Lepidosauria; Squamata; Anolidae
Description: lncRNA (ENSACAG00000035134.1)
Source: RNAcentral
AUGUGCUCCUGGAGUUUGCAAUACAAAAGAAUGCUGAAACUAAGACAAACACACAUUCUGGACUUUAAGAGAGCUGACUUCCAAAAAAUAAAGGAAUUACUGAGCGGCAUUCCAUGGACGCCAAUAUUAAAAAACAAGGGAGUUAAGGAUGGAUGGGAGUUUUUCAAAAGUGAAAUACUCAAGGCGCAAAUGCAAACAGUGCCAACAAAGAAGAAAAAUAAGACAAGUGCAAAGAAGCCAGAAUGGAUGUCCAAAGAACUUCUAACUGAGCUAAAGCUCAAAAGUGACAUGCAAAAGAAGUGGAAAAGGGGAGAAAUCACCAAAGAAGAAUUCAAACGUAUAGCCAACACCUGUAGGGAAAAUUUUCGCAAGGCUAAAGCACAAAAUGAGCUCAGGCUUGCCAGGGACAUAAAAAACAACAAAAAAGGCUUUUUUGCUUACGUUGGUAGAAAAAGGAAGAAAAAGGAGGUGAUAGGGCCUCUGCAAGGAGAAGAUGGGGUGAUGGCGACAGGGGACAGGGAAAAGGCAGAACUGCUCAAUGCCUUCUUUGCCUCGGUCUUCUCACAAAAAGAAAGCCAUCUUCAACCUCAGCAACAUGGAAUGGACGAAGGAUUGGGGGAAAUCCAACCCCAAAUAGGGAAACAAGCUGUCCAGGAACACCUGGCCUCUCUAAACGAAUUCAAGUCCCCAGGGCCAGAUCAGCUACAUCCAAGAGUAUUGAAGGAAUUAGCGGAAGUUAUUUCAGAACCACUGGCAAUUAUCUUCGAGAGUUCUUGGAGAACGGGAGAAGUCCCAGCAGAUUGGAGGAGGGCUGUGAUGAACCAUGGGCCUUGUAGUCCUGCUCAGGACAUUGUAAUCCCUGAUGAAGAUGAAAACUUGGGUUUUUUACCUUCCCAGUCUGAACUGGAUUCCUCUCAGCCAGAUCCUUCCCAGGCAGAUCAGAAACAGAUGCAGUCAUUGCUAAUAGUCAACACGGAUUUACCAAAAAUAAGUCAUGCCAGACUAAUCUGA